UAAAAAAGUGUCUGUGUUUGUGUUCCUUCUCUCUCCUUUUUCCAUUCCAUCGCUGCUUCUGCUUCUGCUCUCCUUGUUUCGCUUUGGAGGGCAUGACGAUGCCCUAAUCACCUUCGAAUGCGAUCGCAGCGUGCGAAGGUGUGUGAUGUCUCCAACUCUCCAUCGUUGAUGGAUUCCUCUUCUUUGCUGUACGUCUCUUCGCUCUCUGUAACGAUGGUGUAGCGGCUUGGAUGGCCUGCUCCUCGGCAGGCAACCGCUGCUCCCGUCCUCCUAGAGGGAAGGGUUGGUGUGGUGUGGUAGAAGAGGAGGGGUCUUUGUGGUAUCAUGGAUUAAUGGCGAAUCCGAGCCUCUUCUCUGUGUUUCUAUAAGGUUGCUCAAGCUCGGCUCAUUCAGAGCCCUAACUGUUUCUCUGCUACUACUACUAGUACUACUGCCAUUGAUGAUGACGCAAUGCUGCGCUCUUGUGUUCUCUUGGCUGUGAUGAUUUGCCCUAGAAGAGUCGAGAGAUCGAGUGGCGUGGCAGCCACUUCUGCAGCCCUUGAUUCAAUUUUUAUCUCUGAUAAAAAAAAAGGUCAGAUCUGAGCCUCCUCCUCCUCCUCCUCUCUCUCUCUCUAUAUAUAUAUAUAUAUAUAUAUAUAUAUAUAUAUAUACUCUCUCCGUUCCUUUUUACGCUCUCCGGUCUUCUUUAGUUGAGAACUUUUCGUGGAGGGAGUGUAUGAUAAAUGAGGAGCGAGCGAGGAACCUCAACCAUUAAGUUGGGACGGGUUUGAACUCGCGACCUUUGAACUCUCUGCUACUACUACUAUUACUACUAGCAUGAUGGUGAUGAUGAAGAUGAUGAUGAUGAUGAUGACUAUGAUGCUUGUUAAUGGCAAUGCUGCACUCUUGUCUUCGCGUGGCUGUGAUGAUUUGACAUAGAAGGGCCUCAAGAUCGAGUGGCGUGGCAGCUAUUGCUGCAGCCCUUGAUUCAGUGUUUAUCUUUGAUUAAAAAAAAAGGUCAGAUCUUAGCCUCUUGCCUCUUGGCUCCUCAGAAAAUGAUGAAGGUAAAGAAAAGAAGGCAAUGCUAUCAAAAUAAAUAAAUAAAUAAAUAAAUAAAUAUAAAUAAAUAAAUAAAAUCAUCCAAGGUCCAAAUUUCAAUUAUGUGUGUGUGUGUGUGUGUGGCCUGUGAUGUGUUUGGCCACUGGAAACAGCUCCUUGGCUGCUAUGAAUCGGAAGAAUGAGAUAUAAAGUCCUCUCGCAUGCUUUAUUUUCUUGCAUUGUUUCAGAAUUGUUCUUGUUUUGAAAGCGUGUUAAGACCACAUUCACAUUCAAAUGAUGGUAAUUUUUCCCUUGCCAAGUGAGAGGUUGAAAGAUCAACUCCCUCUCACAAUAUUGGUUGAAGUGAGCGGCUUGUCAAUCUCAUAAAAAAAAAAAGAAAGAAAAGUGUGAAGUUUGUUCAUAAAGAGCCCCAGGAUCAAAUGGCAAGGUCGUUUUGGUGGUUAUUGCUGCAGCCAUUCAUUGAUUCUGCAUUCUCUUUGAUGAAAAGGUUAGAUCGGUGUUGCUUUUUUCUUUGAGGAAAUUAACAAUGACUCUGAUAAUAUUCAAUUUCUAAAGAAAGCAUGGGGUUUAGUUUGUCCUUUUUUUAUUGAUUUGUGGUCUCUCAAUUCUAUUUUGUCAUUAGAGGCAGUGAUGAUUCACCCUUGAAUUCCUGUGUUCAAAUGGUAUGGCACCUUUGUUGUGGUAUUUAAUAAUUUUGCUUCAUUAAAUUUGGUACUUAUUGAAAUGAAUAUAUAAGUCUGUGUCUCUAGCACUGUCAGCUUAAGCUAUUGUGUUGAAUUGGGAUGUACAUUUGGUUGAACUGAGUUCUGUGGGUUUUGGCCUUGGCUAUGCAUGUGUUUGGAUCAUGGAAACAAGAAUUGAUAAAGAAAUGGCUGGGCUGAUCACUGCAGCAGCCAUAUUUGGUUCUUAUUUUGUAUUAAUGUGAUGAAAAGGGUGGAUCUGAGCCUUGGCUUUCUUCUUUAUAGUAAAUGUAAGCAUGGCAAAUAAGUGAUGUGUUUGGAUUAGUUGAAAGUAGGUAAAAAAAUGAAGAGUGUUAUUUCAUAAAUCUCCAUGAAAUCUUCAGUAGUGAUGAUUUUCUGACCUUUAAUAAUUGCACAUAUCUUAUUUAUCUUCUCCUCUGCUAGGUGACUUUUUAGGGAGAAAAUUGUAUUCCUAAAUUAGUGAAAGUAGAUUAAUUUUUCGCCUUCACGAUGCUCUGUCAUAAGUGAAAGGAUAGAUAAACCAAGCUUAGACAUCAUAUUGUAAAUUUUCUACCAAACACAUUUUUAAGUUCGUCUAUUUCUUGUCUAUAACUCUCCCCUUGAAGAGCUUCCAUUUUUCUUCUUAGGCAUCUGCCUUAUUUGUAAAGACAUGUCCGGGCCAUCUUAAUCAGUUUUUUCUUACUUAGUAAUAGUUGUCACUCUUAUUUUAUUUUGGAUAAAUUCAUUUAUUAAUUAGUUCUUCCUACUUACACAUGACCCCCAUCUCAACAUUCUCAUUUCAGUCAUGCCCAUUCUUUAUGUAUAAUAUUUUUUAACCACCCAACAUUUAGGCGCUUAGAUCAUACUUGGCCUAACAACUAUUCUAUAAAACUUUCAAUCUAAGGGGUAUUCUAUGUCCACAUAAAACUUAGUUACCUGUUAUCUUAGAUUAGAGAGCUUAGGUAUUAAAAUUUUUUUGUCUCUACCAAUCUUAGUGUCAUCCUUUUGGUUUAGAAAAAUAAGAUAAUAUUAAGUUUGAUUUCAGCUCUUGGGUCACACACGCAUAUAUGUCUUUGGAAAAAUGAAAUUACAUAAUAACCUCAUAAAAUUUCUUGUCUCAUGACAAAUAUCAUGCACAUUGUGUUGGAGGAGAGUACUAUAGGUGGUGAUUUGACCUCAAAGAGUGUUGGGUUUAGAUGGCAGGGCAGCUAAGGUUAGGGGUGAUUCUCCAUGCCGCUUCUGCAGCCAUCCCUAAUACUUGUUUCAGCGUUGUGUUUGAUUCAAGGUCAGAUCUGAGCUUGACUUUUGAAGUUGUUGAUGUUGUUGUUAUUAUUUUUGUUAUUGCUGCUGCUGCUGCCGCCUGCCGGUCUUCUUUGCUGACUGUGACGUCAUUGUGUCGUAAGUUAGUGGGUGCCUUUGCCGUUUCAAGUUGCAAAAGGGAACACUUUCCUUCUCUUAUUCUAUGUGCAGAUUCUUCCUAAUAGUUUGUUUGCACAUGGAUUGUAUUCAUGCAUGUUUGUGCACAUGCAGGCGGGCUUUUUUUCCCCCAAGAUGUUCCUUUUUUUUGUUAUAUUUAUGCCGUGGAGUGGUGCAACUGCCAAGUGCCACUUGUCAGCUGUUUGUUAUUUCACUACUACUGGAAAUAACAGUUGGAAGGUGCAGUCGACAUUCUUUGUCAUUCUUUCUGGAUUGAAUGAAUCAUAUUCUAUUGUUGUAGAAGCCUUCUAUAGAACUUAAAUAUGUUUAAAUCCUUGUGUCCUAGAGGCUGUGAUGAACAACCCUAUGCCAACUAUGGCGGGGCAGGUUGUGUUGACCUGCAGCCAUAUGUUGCUAAGAGAUUUCAGUAUGUUGGCUCUUCAUUUUCUUUUUCUUCUUGUUCUUCUUGUUCUUGUUCUUCUUCUUAUUAUUAUUUUCUAUCCUUUGUGAUAAUGACCAAUGUGUGACUGAUAUUGAAGGGUGGUUCUGAGCCUUACAAUUCCUUCCAUAUUUACAUCUUCUAAAGUUAAGAUUAUUUUUUGGUGUGAUGAAUCUUGUUUUUGAUAAGAAUUAGUUAAGGAAUUCGUAAGGUAAGAGCACAGGUUUAUGUUGAGCUUGCGGUUGCGCUCCACGCCUGUGCAUGCACUUGAAUUAGUUAAAUGGGGGCUUGUCACCAAUUUGUCAGGAAAAAAAAAAAAAUUCUGCAAGCCCUCGGUCACUGUCACAUGCAUACUGGAGAACACAGUCACAUUAGAGGCGAUGAAGAUAUGCUAAGCACCACCGCAUGUAAUUUUUGCAUGUUUGGAGGUCAUUGAUGCUUUACUGACCACACCUCUUGACCAACUUGGCCUCUCUGUUAUUUAAAUGGCCCAACAGCUUGGAUGGCCAGCUACCUAGCUGGGAACCGCUGCAACCUUUACGUACCUGAGAUGCAGUGCAUUGGUUGGCUAUGGUAAUUGGUUGGAAUCAGGUGACUUGCAGAAGGCGAAUCUGAGCCUUGUUUUAUUUUUGUUGCAAGUAUAUGUGACUUAUAUUUUUCCAAAAGAGGCACUGGGUUUUCUUGUUUAUUUCAAAAUAUAUUGGCAAGAUUUAAUUGUGGAUGUUUUUUGACGCAUUACCCUUUUUUUUUUGGGAACUUGUUUGAGCCAUUUUUCCCCCUCUAUUUUUAGUGUUUGUGAAAUUUGUCAGAAUUGCAUGCUGCCCUUGGUAAUUAUGAAAGUUAAGCCAUAAGGCUAAUGAUUGUAUUAACAAGGUUUGAUGUAAUGUUUUAACCAUACACAAUUUGUUGUGCAGAUUACUAAAAAGUUUGUAUAGUAGACCUUGACUUAUACAUUCAUAUUCAUAUUUAAUGACUUAGCCAAUUUGGGACCCUUAGUUGCUAUAUUGUAUAGGAAACCUUGAUUUAUACAUUCAUAUUCAUAUUUACUUCGCAUGUAAAUCUAGUUUGAAAUGAUCAACAUGGCCCCCAUCAAUGGCUUUGUUUGUUUGAUGCUCUGAUUUUCUCUCUGAUUUAUUGGUUGGUUCAGAUAUUCUUCUUAAAAUGACGGGAAUGAUAAAGCAGUCUGGAUGGUCAGCUGCUAAGCCAGCUGCAGUCUGCUGGCAACCACUGCAUCAUUAUAUUAUUGCAGAUGUAUUGGUUGGUUAUUCUCGCUGGAUGACUUUUGUGCCUGGAAGAGGCAUGUUGGUUAAGGAGGCCUAAACUAUAAUUCCGUCGUUCUUUUGAAAUAGCUGCAAACUGUGGGUUAGUUUUUAUUUGCUAAAAAAAAUUGGCUUUGAAGUGUGGGGCAAAACAGUUUUGUUCUUUCCAUGUGGGUUAAAACAUUGCCUUCAUGCCGGCAAUGAUGAUAUGAAUCACCUUGUGAUCUUUGUGUGGUUGAAGGUGUAGCCACUAGCUAUGUAUACAUCAUUUCUCUGCUGAUGGUAAUUGCAAGCUUGCUUGGAUUGCCAGCUACCUUGCUGGCGACCUAUGGAACUAUUCCAUUUCAAGUGCUGACUGCUGGUGAAUUUGUGGAGCUAUGGUGUUUGGUUGAAAUUUCAUGACCAAACGGAAGGUUCCGAUCUUGUGACGAUGAAGCAAUAGAUGUUGUAGUUCCUUUUUCAUCCUGGAAGCUUGUCUAAUGUCCUCGAUUUGCUCCUUCUCUCUAAUCCUCACCGUCUCCACCGGUGAGGUUUGCUACUUCUUAUCUUUUUCCUAUUUCUUGUUAAGAUAAGUAGGCCCUAAGUUGAUUAAGGCAUGAUCUCUUCUAAUUUGAUUUUUAUCAUUUACUAUAUAUCACAUGUAUUCUGAUGAGCUUUAUAUUUUUCCCCGGGUGUUUUUUCUUUUUUGGAAGAGUUGUUUUUCACCAAGGUGACUUAUUUUGUUUUUCACCAAGUCGUAUGUGUCCUUAUUAAUUAUCAUGCUCUCUAUGGCGAGGCAUAUGAAUGGCCUGAUAUUAUGAAGGCAACCUAUGCUGCUUUUUAUUUUUAUUUUGACUAAUGCAAUGCGGGUGUAUGUACCGUUUGCACUGUGAUCUCGAAAGAUGGCGAGGCAAGUGUUUGCAGCCAUUGGAGUAUGUUCAGCUUGUUAGCUGUAUUUAGUUGGUGAUUCUGAGCCUCCAUUAUAUCACCUAUUAAUUAUUGUUUUUCAAUCAAAAGUCCUAUGUUUACCAACAGCUUGGACGCCAAAAUUAUUGUGUCAAUUCUUGAGCUGAGGAUAGGAUAAUCAGCAGAAGUCAACGAUGAUAAUGCUACACUUUUGGAUUUAUUGGCUGAACAGUAAGGAUAAAGAAUUGAUUAAGCUACAUGUUAGGUGUCUUUCUGAGCAAUAAUUAAUUUAUAUGUUAAGCAUAUCUUAAGAUAAAAAAUCUAUUAGCACAUGUAAAUUUCCAUUAUGGUGAGAGCUCUAAAUAAUUCGAUUUUCAUUAUAAAUCUAUCAGCACAAGGAAAUUUUAGCAAUUAAAAAUUAUAAGUUUGAGUUUGGAGGCUGUUAUACUUACGUUACCUUUUCUCAGCUGGCUUUACAAAUAAUGCAAAGGAGAUGAUCUCGUUCAAUUUUAUUUAUUUAUUUAUUUGUGGGAAUUGCUUCUAUGCCCUAUGAAAGUGGGUGGUUGCUAUUAUAGCCUCGCAAAAACCAGUCCUUCAAAUGGCGAGCAGAUGGAUGGUCUGCUAUUCAGCGGGCAACCUAUUAAAGCAGAUGGAAGGCGUGUUAUUUUCGCAACUUCUGCAGCCAUUCUUCCAGCAUUCGAAUAAUUUGCCUAUUGUGGUGUUUUUCACAUAUAUACCCGCCCAAGAUAUAUUACUAUGCCAAGGCAGACAGACAGUCUGCGACACAAGCUGAAGUCAGAGGUGUGCUGAGAUGGAUGGUCUACUAUUGUGCGAGCAGCCUUUGCUGUUGGUCCACUGGGAGAGAUUCUUUUUUAAAGUUGGUAUUUCCAUUGAUGUGGAAAAUUGAUAGGCUAUUCCUCUGUGGGCAAGUUCUGCAGCCAUCCUGUGACAAGUAGAAUAUUUUUGAGGUGUGUUUGCUGAAGAAUAAACCUAGCAUACAUGGCUUCGUUCCUGCAUUGCUCUCUCUUUACUUUCUAGAGGCUGUGAUGACUGUGCCCAGGGAUUUAUGGUUAUUUUCUGGGUGCCCUCAAUCAAUUCUUGUGAUUUUGUUUAAGGGUUUAGAAUUUAGGGUUUUUAAAGCUGCAUUCAAGCACUUAUAUUGCUGUCACAUAAGUGUGUUGUUGCUGGUCUCCUUCAUGGCGGGGCAUCUAUUUGCAGCCAUUGGAGUUUGAAUGGCAGAAUUGCUGAAGUCUAAUGAGGGUUGUUCUGAGCCUCUAGUUUGUUUGUGGCAAUUUCUAUCACAGAGAUUUUGAGAUAACAUGUUCUAUUGUUGUAGAAGUCUUCUAUGUGGCUGAUUGGCAUCAUGGAAUUCUUGUUAUUCUGGUCUUCUACGAGCUUUUUGGUUGUUUUCUGGGAGACUAAAUUAUUUUACGCAAAAUUUAUUUUGUUCCUUAGAGCUAAUUGAGCUUUCUCUGUGGGCAGCAUGCAAAUAAACUAUUGGUAGUUAGGUAAUCUGUUAUGGAUGUUGAUCCUUCCAUUCAAAGCCUUUAUAAUGCUAGGUAUCCUUUGGCAAAUAUAUCUGUGAUAUUAAUUACAACAUGAUUUUUGUGCUAACUUCUUGGUUACAUGAAUUUUUUCCUUCCACCUCAUUCUAUCAGGAGCCAAAAAUCAGAUCGACCAAGAUUAGACAUAUCAUUCUAUAUAUUCAUGAACCAAAUCCUGCUUCAAUCAACUGCUUUGUAGCAAUGGACGUGGCAGGUUGUGAUCCUGCAGCCAUUUUGAGAUGAGUUUUAUAGGGGUAUAUAUCUAUACAUGCAAAUGGAAAUUUUGUUGGGUGUAUGCAUAUUUAACUGAUAGCAUCAUGCAUGUCUAUAAUUUUGCCUCAAGUGAAUAGCAAUUCAAGGCUGGUACAUGUGUUCCAUUUGCAUCCAUUCCAUUGUUCUGAACAUGACUUUUGUGUUCCUUCAUUUUUAUCUUUCUUGUGUCCAUUCAUGUCUCAAGAGGCUGUGAUGAUUUCCCCUGAAACCAACUUGUGCUUGGAUCGAAGGAAAAGAGAAAGUUGAUUAGUUUUUUACUUUGCACUCCCUGAAAAAGAGUGAAAUUACCAAACAGCUCCUCAGUUUGCAGAAAUAUGAAAAACCUGAAAUUGGAAUGGGAUGGAUGGCGAGGCAACAUGGAAAGGCUGGCUAGAUUUUGCUGGCUACCAUCUGCAGCCAUUAUCAUUUUCCUAAUAGCAGGGUGAAACUGAGCCUCUUUCUGGUUUCCGUUUUGAAUUCUGCAUUGACCUAUCAGGCCAACCAGGAGGAUCUUUGGGUUAGCACAGGUUUUGGCCAUGUUUCAACCAUGAGAGAAAAUUCAGGCAAG
Molecule: long non-coding RNA, 8081 nt
Organism: Dioscorea cayenensis subsp. rotundata (Guinea yam)
Lineage: Eukaryota; Viridiplantae; Streptophyta; Magnoliopsida; Dioscoreales; Dioscoreaceae
Exons: 5
Source: RefSeq, a predicted model, not a curated record